Cyphomyrmex costatus is the source of this 619-nucleotide long non-coding RNA. RefSeq lists it as uncharacterized. The transcript has 2 exons. Lineage: Eukaryota; Metazoa; Arthropoda; Insecta; Hymenoptera; Formicidae. The record is from RefSeq and is a predicted model, not a curated record.
AUCCAAAAUGUUGAACAAUAAUCAGUAAAAUUGUGGUUUUCUCGUUCGUGUGACAACACAAAAGCAAAAAUUAACGAAAUGUCCGAAAAAAAACCAUUAGACUCUGAAUACGAGUGGAUUGUUCGAAUCUGUACAAACGCUUUUAACAUAUAUCUAACAAUGAUACACUUUAUAUUUUAUGACAACACUUUAAACUUGCAACCAGAAAAUUAUGAAAUUUCGCUCGUGUCGUACACACUACUCAUGGCAGCGUUGGAUCUUUUCGCAUAUUGCGUUUUCCAAUAAAUCGGUACGAAUUACAGGCGACAAAGAAUAAAGGAAGACCAUAAAUGUGCCACUAACACCGUAAUAUCGUACGAUAUAGAAGAGAAUAAUAGAAAUCAUAUAUGGUUUUUGUGUAAAAUAUAUUCAAAAUUUACAUUUAAAAUCUCCAUACAACACGAAAGCUUACAGCAACAUUAUUGCAAUAUUGCUGGAACAUUGCUGUAAUAUUGUUAAAAUGAUUUAUGCUGUAUGGACCUCCACAAAACGCAGGAGUGACAAUAAUAUUACGUCAUAAUUUCUCAGUCAACAAUAUAAAUGUAACAUGUGUAUACUAAGAUACUACAUAACAAUCACA